CUGGCAACGCCAGUGAUGCAAUUGUUCGUAUCGAUAAGCAGCACGAGUUGAGAAAGACAGAAGAGAGAGCAACACAGAAUAAAUAAAACUGAUUCCAGAGUGUACGCCAUUUUUUCAGCGCUUUCUUUGUCCUACUUAUUUUCAAGAUUGCUAAAAUUGUAAGAAAUUCCUUGAGAGCACCUGAAAGCUAAAUUUCUUCCGAGUUCUCAGUAAGUUAAGACGAUCGACAUAGGCUCCCAUAUACAGAUUAAACUGUCUAUUGCUUUUCUUUUUCCCAAACAAAUCCAACAAAAUGCCUGAGACAAAGAUUGUCAGACUGCUCACUACUAGUGGAGGAAUCCCACAAUCAAUGAAAUCAUACAGAACUAUAAAUGUUUCUCAGUCUGGACCACACGCCUCCACCCCACAAUACAAGAAAUUUCAUCACCGAGGUCAGAUGAAGACACAGACAGCGCCUCGCUUUCAAAGAAUGCACUGCUGGCCAGAGAAAACCGUCUUAAGAAGAAACGUUACAUAAAUGGACUUGAAGAAAAUCUCUCUGCAGCCAAGAAAGAAAACGAAUACCUGGUGGACAAGUUGAAGGAAAAGGACAGUACCAUUGAUGAACUUCAAAAAGAGAUUCUGUACUUCAAAAGUAUUCUAGCUAAUGUUCAAGAGAUAUCUGGACUCAUCAAAACUAUCAAACAGGAUUCAUCUAUUCCCAUGUCUACAUCUUUAAGGCCAACCUAUCCUUUAAAGAGAACAGCUGCUGUGGAAUUGUCAGUCAUUGAAGGUUCAAAAAAGAUCAAAAUGGAACGGACGAGUGAAAGUUCCAGCGGCACCAGUACCAUCCAUGAUGAGGACGACUGCUAUGACUGGAUGCCCAGUUCACCCAUGUGCCCAACACAACUUGAUGCGGAAUCCCUUGACGUUUUGUCCAAUUUCAGUGAAGAAGAUAUAAAUUUAUUUGGUGAUGACACACUUCUUCCCGAGACUACCCGUCAAGCCGUACCUCUUCCAGCUGGAGUGUGUUUACAUGUUUUCAACAAGCAAAUGUCACUCGAAUUUUGUGUCGCGUGUGCUACCAGAGCCCAGGAGAAAUGGUCUGCACAAGUUUGAGGAUAUGGAAACCUAUCAAAUUACAAACAUUCUUAAAUUGUUGUUACACAUUGAUGGAGCCUACCACCCCAUAUAUGAUCAACUACCGAGGUUCUUGCACCAUUGGGUUAGGUUAUUAAUGUAUCGUAAAAUGGUCUGUUUCCUUUCAUUAUAAUCCUGGUCGAUCCUUGUAAAUCGGAAAAAAUUAUUAAUGCCGUGCAGUGUUUUGUUUCGUUACAGGUUGCAGCGUUCUAAAGGAAGAAAGGUGGAAGUCCGCCGAAACAAUCUGGUUUUUGUAAAUACGUUUUUUCAACCCAUUUCUAGAUAAGAACAACUGGCAUGGCUUAUUUUUUUUUUGUAUAACACUGCGCCGUCGUAUGCAGAAUACAAUUGUAUAUUAAUAA
RNAcentral lists this unclassified non-coding RNA (1481 nucleotides) under Daphnia pulex (common water flea). RNAcentral describes it as "uncharacterized LOC124194062, transcript variant X1". The record is from RNAcentral. Lineage: Eukaryota; Metazoa; Arthropoda; Branchiopoda; Diplostraca; Daphniidae.